RNAcentral lists this ribosomal RNA (460 nucleotides) under uncultured bacterium. RNAcentral's name for it is "partial 16S ribosomal RNA". It matches the Rfam family "Bacterial small subunit ribosomal RNA", at positions 338 to 795 of the family's 1533-position model. The record is from RNAcentral.
CCUACGGGUGGCAGCAGUGAGGAAUAUUGGUCAAUGGACGCAAGUCUGAACCAGCCAUGCAGCGUGCAGGAAGACGGCUCUAUGGGUUGUAAACUGCUUUUGUACAGGGGUAAACUCAGAUACGCGUGCCUUUCUGUACGUAUCUUACGAAUAAGGAUCGGCUAACUCCGUGCCAGCAGCCGCGGUAAUACGGAGGAUUCAAGCGUUAUCCGGAUUUAUUGGGUUUAAAGGGUGCGUAGGCGGGCGGAUAAGUCAGUUGUGAAAGCCCGCGGCUCAACUUCGGAAUUGCAUCUGAUACUGUCAGGCUAGAGAGCAGUUGAGGUAGGCGGAAUGCAUGGUGUAGCGGUGAAAUGCUUAGAGAUCACACAGAACACCGAUUGCGAAGGCAGCUUACCAAGCUACGGCUGACGUUGAGGCACGAAAGCGUGGGGAGCAAACAGGAUUAGAUACCCGAGUAGUC